AUGAGCUGUGUAAAGAUAAUUGUAUUGUUGCAGAUUUGGACUGCUUGUAACGCAAUACAGCACUUUAACAAUCCAAGAGAAAAUAUUUGGGUCACUAUAGCCAAUAUGACCCAGCAAUCAUCGCUUUGCUUGAGCCUAGGGGGAGUGCGGAACCCAUUUAGAACAUGUUUAGUAGGCCUUCCGGUGUGGUCAAUAGAAGAAUUUAGAGGCUUAGUAGAGAAUGAGACAUUAAUCAAUGCCACAUUGUUAAACACAAAUUGUUCUAAUAUGCCUGCAAUAAAUACCCCAGCUAAACAAGAUGGGUGUUGGCAAUGUAAAAUAAUAUUAUCCCUCAAUGAAAUAUUAAACUCACCACCCGAGGAAUUAGAUUUGUUUGGCAGCAGUAAUGCCUCAUUAAAGAACAGCACAGGAGGAUGGGUCAGUUUUACACCCAUCAACAGCCAAAAUUGGAACAAAGAUAGACGUCUUUGGGCCACGGUGGACUCUGACUUAAAGUCUGAGACCGUAUCUAGCCAAUUAUAUUCUGAGUGUAAUGGAACCAAUAUCACUGAACCCCGGGCAUUGCCCAAAGGAAUAUUUCUUAUUUGUGGAGAUAGGGCAUGGAAUGGCAUUCCAGUGAAACCCCAAGGAGGCCCAUGUUAUUUAGGGAAGUUAUCAAUGUUUCACCCAAAUGUGUCUAUGUUAAUGCAGUGGUCAAAAAACCGCACAAGAUCUAGAAGAAGUAUUCAUGAGUUAAAGUGUGAAAAUAUUGGUACACCAACCUUUUGGUCAGAAUUCAAACAGGUAAAAAUAGCUACCCUCUUGCCAGGUGCAGCCGCGAGCAAGGCACUGGCCCUAGCUGAACAACUAGGAUGUUGGGCAAAAGAGGAGCUUAAUCAAACUUCACAGGUAUUAGACAUGAUGGCACAAGAUGUAGAAAGUGUAAAUCAUGCCGUGUUGCAGAACCGUGCUGCAAUUGACUUUUUAUUAUUAGCACAAGGUCAUGGAUGUGAAGAAUUUGACGGGAUGUGUUGUAUGAACUUAUCUGACCACUCCACAUCAAUUCAUCGGAAGAUCCAAGAAAUCCAAAAUGGCUUGCAUGCCCUUAAGGAAGAAAACGGGUUUAGGACUUGA
This 1113-nucleotide long non-coding RNA is filed under the name Amazona collaria (yellow-billed parrot). RNAcentral describes it as "lncRNA (ENSACOG00000013385.1)". The record is from RNAcentral. Lineage: Eukaryota; Metazoa; Chordata; Aves; Psittaciformes; Psittacidae.